UGACGAGCUUGCUCUGAUUUGAUUUUAUCUGACAAAGAGUGGCGAACGGGUGAGUAACACGUGGGUAACCUACCUCUUAGCAGGGGAUAACAUUUGGAAACAAGUGCUAAUACCGUAUAAUACCAACAACCGCAUGGUUGUUGGUUGAAAGAUGGUUCUGCUAUCACUAAGAGAUGGACCCGCGGUGCAUUAGCUAGUUGGUAAGGUAACGGCUUACCAAGGCAAUGAUGCAUAGCCGAGUUGAGAGACUGAUCGGCCACAAUGGGACUGAGACACGGCCCAUACUCCUACGGGAGGCAGCAGUAGGGAAUCUUCCACAAUGGGCGCAAGCCUGAUGGAGCAACGCCGCGUGUGUGAUGAAGGGUUUCGGCUCGUAAAACACUGUUAUAAGAGAAGAACGGCACUGAGAGUAACUGUUCAGUGUGUGACGGUAUCUUACCAGAAAGGAACGGCUAAAUACGUGCCAGCAGCCGCGGUAAUACGUAUGUUCCAAGCGUUAUCCGGAUUUAUUGGGCGUAAAGCGAGCGCAGACGGUUAUUUAAGUCUGAAGUGAAAGCCCUCAGCUCAACUGAGGAAUGGCUUUGGAAACUGGAUGACUUGAGUGCAGUAGAGGAAAGUGGAACUCCAUGUGUAGCGGUGAAAUGCGUAGAUAUAUGGAAGAACACCAGUGGCGAAGGCGGCUUUCUGGACUGUAACUGACGUUGAGGCUCGAAAGUGUGGGUAGCAAACAGGAUUAGAUACCCUGGUAGUCCACACCGUAAACGAUGAGUGCUAGAUGUUCGGGGGGUUUCCGCCCCUUCCUUUUCCCCCCCUAACCCAUUAAACCCUCCGCCCGCGGGAGGACGAACCC
Molecule: ribosomal RNA, 850 nt
Filed under: Weissella paramesenteroides
Lineage: Bacteria; Bacillati; Bacillota; Bacilli; Lactobacillales; Lactobacillaceae
Description: bacterial SSU rRNA
Rfam family: Bacterial small subunit ribosomal RNA
Source: RNAcentral